UGGAGAGCUAAUGCAUGGUGCUAAGUAUGGAAAGGUCUCUUGUGGUUUGGUUGUGCCAGAGACAUAUGUACAUUAUUUCCAUGUUGGGUCAGAAGUCUUGGUACACUUUGGGUGAGUGGCAGUUGGGAAGAUGGAUGACCUUCAGAUAAUUUGAGAUGAAGAAGUUCUUUUAAAUGAUUGAAAGUGAUCAUCAUAGAAUCAACUCCAUUAUGAAGAUAAAUUAUGAGCAAGUCAGCACUCCUUUUGUCCAACACCUGAGAGAUCUGAGUACCCAGCCUACUGUUGAAUUAAUUGGUGACCAAGAAAAGAUGACAGAGAGGGGAAUCAAAAGUGGAUGCCAUCUUGAUCAAGAAUAUAUACACUGACUAGAAAAUAUCUGAAAAUAUAUAGAUGAACAUUCAAGCAUUUAUAAUAAUGAAAGUUAUUCAGCAAGAGAGUUUUUGCACAAGUUUAAUUUUCAGUAAAAUUGUGUAUAUUGUGCACUGAGGAACUUAGUAUGUAACUCAUUAUGAUUAUCCAUUUCUUUAGAGGAU
Long non-coding RNA from Saccostrea echinata, 533 nucleotides. RefSeq lists it as uncharacterized. The record is from RefSeq and is a predicted model, not a curated record. NCBI's taxonomy places the organism in Eukaryota, Metazoa, Mollusca, Bivalvia, Ostreida, Ostreidae. The transcript has 3 exons.